UGCAGUCGAGCGGUAGCACAGGGGAGCUUGCUCCCUGGGUGACGAGCGGCGGACGGGUGAGUAAUGUCUGGGAAACUGCCUGAUGGAGGGGGAUAACUACUGGAAACGGUAGCUAAUACCGCAUAACGUCGCAAGACCAAAGAGGGGGACCUUCGGGCCUCUUGCCAUCAGAUGUGCCCAGAUGGGAUUAGCUAGUAGGUGGGGUAAUGGCUCACCUAGGCGACGAUCCCUAGCUGGUCUGAGAGGAUGACCAGCCACACUGGAACUGAGACACGGUCCAGACUCCUACGGGAGGCAGCAGUGGGGAAUAUUGCACAAUGGGCGCAAGCCUGAUGCAGCCAUGCCGCGUGUGUGAAGAAGGCCUUCGGGUUGUAAAGCACUUUCAGCGAGGAGGAAGGUGGUGAGCUUAAUACGCUCAUCAAUUGACGUUACUCGCAGAAGAAGCACCGGCUAACUCCGUGCCAGCAGCCGCGGUAAUACGGAGGGUGCAAGCGUUAAUCGGAAUUACUGGGCGUAAAGCGCACGCAGGCGGUUUGUUAAGUCAGAUGUGAAAUCCCCGGGCUCAACCUGGGAACUGCAUUUGAAACUGGCAAGCUAGAGUCUCGUAGAGGGGGGGUAGAAUUCCAGGUCGGGUUGUAAAGCACUUUCAGCGAGGAGGAAAGUUGGUGAGCUUUAAUACGCUCAUCAAUUGACGUUUACUCGCAGAAGAAGCACCCGGCUAACUCCGUUGCCAGCAGCCGCGGUAAUACGGAGGGUGCAAGCGUUUAUCGGAAUUACUGGGCGUAAAGCGCACGCAGGCGGUUUGUUAAGUCAGAUGUGAAAUUCCCCGGGCUCAACCUGGGAACUGCAUUUGAAACUGGCAAGCUAGAGUCUCGUAGAGGGGGGUAGAAUUUCCAGGUGUAGCGGUGAAAUGCGUAGAGAUCUGGAGGAAUACCGGUGGCGAAGGCGGCCCCCUGGACGAAGACUGACGCUCAGGUGCGAAAGCGUGGGGAGCAAACAGGAUUAGAUACCCUGGUAGUCCACGCUGUAAACGAUGUCGAUUUGGAGGUUGUGCCCUUGAGGCGUGGCUUCCGGAGCUAACGCGUUAAAUCGACCGCCUGGGGAGUACGGCCGCAAGGUUAAAACUCAAAUGAAUUGACGGGGGCCCGCACAAGCGGUGGAGCAUGUGGUUUAAUUCGAUGCAACGCGAAGAACCUUACCUACUCUUGACAUCCAGAGAACUUAGCAGAGAUGGUUUGGUGCCUUCGGGAACUCUGAGACAGGUGCUGCAUGGCUGUCGUCAGCUCGUGUUGUGAAAUGUUGGGUUAAGUCCCGCAACGAGCGCAACCCUUAUCCUUUGUUGCCAGCGGUUCGGCCGGGAACUCAAAGGAGACUGCCAGUGAUAAACUGGAGGAAGGUGGGGAUGACGUCAAGUCAUCAUGGCCCUUACGAGUAGGGCUACACACGUGCUACAAUGGCGUAUACAAAGAGAAGCGACCUCGCGAGAGCAAGCGGACCUCAUAAAGUACGUCGUAGUCCGGAUUGGAGUCUGCAACUCGACUCCAUGAAGUCGGAAUCGCUAGUAAUCGUAGAUCAGAAUGCUACGGUGAAUACGUUCCCGGGCCUUGUACACACCGCCCGUCACACCAUGGGAGUGGGUUGCAAAAGAAGUAGGUAGCUGAUGUGUU
Molecule: ribosomal RNA, 1667 nt
Filed under: Serratia nematodiphila
Lineage: Bacteria; Pseudomonadati; Pseudomonadota; Gammaproteobacteria; Enterobacterales; Yersiniaceae
Description: bacterial SSU rRNA
Rfam family: Bacterial small subunit ribosomal RNA
Source: RNAcentral